Molecule: non-coding RNA, 21 nt
Filed under: Arabidopsis thaliana (thale cress)
Lineage: Eukaryota; Viridiplantae; Streptophyta; Magnoliopsida; Brassicales; Brassicaceae
Source: RNAcentral
UAGUGUUUCAGGGUGAUACUA